GAUGAACGCUGGCGGCGUGCCUAAUACAUGCAAGUCGAGCGAACAGACGAGGAGCUUGCUCCUCUGACGUUAGCGGCGGACGGGUGAGUAACACGUGGAUAACCUACCUAUAAGACUGGGAUAACUUCGGGAAACCGGAGCUAAUACCGGAUAAUAUAUUGAACCGCAUGGUUCAAUAGUGAAAGACGGUUUUGCUGUCACUUAUAGAUGGAUCCGCGCCGCAUUAGCUAGUUGGUAAGGUAACGGCUCACCAAGGCGACGAUGCGUAGCCGACCUGAGAGGGUGAUCGGACACACUGGAACGGAGACACGGUCCAGACUCCUACGGGAGGCAGCAGUAGGGAAUCUUCCGCAAUGGGCGAAAGCCUGACGGAGCAACGCCGCGUGAGUGAUGAAGGUCUUCGGAUCGUAAAACUCUGUUAUUAGGGAAGAACAAAUGUGUAAGUAACUAUGCACGUCUUGACGGUACCUAAUCAGAAAGCCACGGCUAACUACGUG
This 497-nucleotide ribosomal RNA is filed under the name uncultured bacterium. RNAcentral's name for it is "partial 16S ribosomal RNA". It matches the Rfam family "Bacterial small subunit ribosomal RNA", at positions 28 to 507 of the family's 1533-position model. The record is from RNAcentral.